This 2325-nucleotide unclassified non-coding RNA is filed under the name uncultured Escherichia sp. Its description in RNAcentral is "bacterial SSU rRNA". The stretch from base 1 to 1515 matches the Rfam family "Bacterial small subunit ribosomal RNA". The record is from RNAcentral. Lineage: Bacteria; Pseudomonadati; Pseudomonadota; Gammaproteobacteria; Enterobacterales; Enterobacteriaceae.
AUUGAACGCUGGCGGCAGGCCUAACACAUGCAAGUCGAACGGUAACAGGAAACAGCUUGCUGUUUCGCUGACGAGUGGCGGACGGGUGAGUAAUGUCUGGGAAACUGCCUGAUGGAGGGGGAUAACUACUGGAAACGGUAGCUAAUACCGCAUAACGUCGCAAGACCAAAGAGGGGGACCUUCGGGCCUCUUGCCAUCGGAUGUGCCCAGAUGGGAUUAGCUAGUAGGUGGGGUAACGGCUCACCUAGGCGACGAUCCCUAGCUGGUCUGAGAGGAUGACCAGCCACACUGGAACUGAGACACGGUCCAGACUCCUACGGGAGGCAGCAGUGGGGAAUAUUGCACAAUGGGCGCAAGCCUGAUGCAGCCAUGCCGCGUGUAUGAAGAAGGCCUUCGGGUUGUAAAGUACUUUCAGCGGGGAGGAAGGGAGUAAAGUUAAUACCUUUGCUCAUUGACGUUACCCGCAGAAGAAGCACCGGCUAACUCCGUGCCAGCAGCCGCGGUAAUACGGAGGGUGCAAGCGUUAAUCGGAAUUACUGGGCGUAAAGCGCACGCAGGCGGUUUGUUAAGUCAGAUGUGAAAUCCCCGGGCUCAACCUGGGAACUGCAUCUGAUACUGGCAAGCUUGAGUCUCGUAGAGGGGGGUAGAAUUCCAGGUGUAGCGGUGAAAUGCGUAGAGAUCUGGAGGAAUACCGGUGGCGAAGGCGGCCCCCUGGACGAAGACUGACGCUCAGGUGCGAAAGCGUGGGGAGCAAACAGGAUUAGAUACCCUGGUAGUCCACGCCGUAAACGAUGUCGACUUGGAGGUUGUGCCCUUGAGGCGUGGCUUCCGGAGCUAACGCGUUAAGUCGACCGCCUGGGGAGUACGGCCGCAAGGUUAAAACUCAAAUGAAUUGACGGGGGCCCGCACAAGCGGUGGAGCAUGUGGUUUAAUUCGAUGCAACGCGAAGAACCUUACCUGGUCUUGACAUCCACGGAAGUUUUCAGAGAUGAGAAUGUGCCUUCGGGAACCGUGAGACAGGUGCUGCAUGGCUGUCGUCAGCUCGUGUUGUGAAAUGUUGGGUUAAGUCCCGCAACGAGCGCAACCCUUAUCCUUUGUUGCCAGCGGUCCGGCCGGGAACUCAAAGGAGACUGCCAGUGAUAAACUGGAGGAAGGUGGGGAUGACGUCAAGUCAUCAUGGCCCUUACGACCAGGGCUACACACGUGCUACAAUGGCGCAUACAAAGAGAAGCGACCUCGCGAGAGCAAGCGGACCUCAUAAAGUGCGUCGUAGUCCGGAUUGGAGUCUGCAACUCGACUCCAUGAAGUCGGAAUCGCUAGUAAUCGUGGAUCAGAAUGCCACGGUGAAUACGUUCCCGGGCCUUGUACACACCGCCCGUCACACCAUGGGAGUGGGUUGCAAAAGAAGUAGGUAGCUUAACCUUCGGGAGGGCGCUUACCACUUUGUGAUUCAUGACUGGGGUGAAGUCGUAACAAGGUAACCGUAGGGGAACCUGCGGUUGGAUCACCUCCUUACCUUAAAGAAGCGUUCUUUGCAGUGCUCACACAGAUUGUCUGAUAGAAAGUGAAAAGCAAGGCGUCUUGCGAAGCAGACUGAUACGUCCCCUUCGUCUAGAGGCCCAGGACACCGCCCUUUCACGGCGGUAACAGGGGUUCGAAUCCCCUAGGGGACGCCACUUGCUGGUUUGUGAGUGAAAGUCACCUGCCUUAAUAUCUCAAAACUCAUCUUCGGGUGAUGUUUGAGAUAUUUGCUCUUUAAAAAUCUGGAUCAAGCUGAAAAUUGAAACACUGAACAACGAAAGUUGUUCGUGAGUCUCUCAAAUUUUCGCAACACGAUGAUGAAUCGUAAGAAACAUCUUCGGGUUGUGAGGUUAAGCGACUAAGCGUACACGGUGGAUGCCCUGGCAGUCAGAGGCGAUGAAGGACGUGCUAAUCUGCGAUAAGCGUCGGUAAGGUGAUAUGAACCGUUAUAACCGGCGAUUUCCGAAUGGGGAAACCCAGUGUGUUUCGACACACUAUCAUUAACUGAAUCCAUAGGUUAAUGAGGCGAACCGGGGGAACUGAAACAUCUAAGUACCCCGAGGAAAAGAAAUCAACCGAGAUUCCCCCAGUAGCGGCGAGCGAACGGGGAGCAGCCCAGAGCCUGAAUCAGUGUGUGUGUUAGUGGAAGCGUCUGGAAAGGCGCGCGAUACAGGGUGACAGCCCCGUACACAAAAAUGCACAUGCUGUGAGCUCGAUGAGUAGGGCGGGACACGUGGUAUCCUGUCUGAAUAUGGGGGGACCAUCCUCCAAGGCUAAAUACUCCUGACUGACCGAUAGUGAACC